RNAcentral lists this ribosomal RNA (265 nucleotides) under uncultured prokaryote. RNAcentral's name for it is "partial 16S ribosomal RNA". It matches the Rfam family "Bacterial small subunit ribosomal RNA", at positions 524 to 788 of the family's 1533-position model. The record is from RNAcentral.
UACGGAGGGUCCAAGCGUUAUCCGGAUUUAUUGGGUUUAAAGGGUGCGUAGGCGGUCUGUUAAGUUAGAGGUGAAAUCUCACGGCUCAACCGUGAAACUGCCUCUGAUACUGGCGGGCUAGAGAGAGGUUGCUGUUGGCGGAAUGUGUGGUGUAGCGGUGAAAUGCUUAGAGAUCACACAGAACACCGAUUGCGAAGGCAGCUAACAAAGCCUUUUCUGACGCUGAGGCACGAAAGCGUGGGGAGCAAACAGGAUUAGAUACCCU